CUUCCGCCAUUCUCUUCCUGUUGUUGCACCAUGGAAGCUUGCUGCUAAAUGAGAAACUUCUUCUAUAAUUAAAAAAAAUAGUCGAUGCUCUUUCACAUCUGUCUCUCCAUUUCCUCCGUCCCACUUUUCCACAUCAACUUUUUUCCCUCUUCGAUACAAUUAUACCUACACAACACAUGUAUUAGUCCGAGAAAUUCUAAAUCUGGGUAGAUUAUGGAUUUCAUCAUUUUUCAUUCAAUUUUGUUCAUAUAGAAAUUAGAAUCUCAAAAAAUGCAUGCAAUAAAAGAGAGAGUUUCAGAAACAUAAUCAAGAUUUUUUUUCGGAUUUCCCAUCAUCUCGAACUCCAGAUCAAGAACCCGAGGUACCCAUUUUUGUUUUUUCCUUUUGUGGGUCUGCAAAAUUAAGUUACUAUUUGAUUGAACCCAAUGUUUGAAUUGAUUGUGAGAUUUUUUAUGAUUUUUUAUUAAUUAAAAUUGUUUCUUGUGUCUGAUCCGUGAAAAAAAUUUGUGGGUUUGAGUUUUGGAUACAAUGUGUAUGUAAAUAAGUUGAAUUCCGUGAAUGCUUGAGAAAUUUUUUUAGCUUAUGAUGUUAAUUGAGUUUAUAAUUUGAUUUCGUUUGACAUGCUAAUAGACUUGAUAAACCAAGAUCAGUUAGCAUUUUAUACUUUAUGAAUUUUAACCCCUUGUCUAGGUAAUAUAAAUCUUCUUUUUAGCAGUAAACUCCCAUGGUGCAAAAGGAAGAAGAUGGAGGAAGAAGUCGAAUGAUUUUUGUUUUUUUUUUUUUAAUUAUGUAUUUGUGAUUAAUUUGUAAUUUUUUGAAAAUUUG
Molecule: long non-coding RNA, 825 nt
Filed under: Olea europaea subsp. europaea
Lineage: Eukaryota; Viridiplantae; Streptophyta; Magnoliopsida; Lamiales; Oleaceae
Source: RNAcentral